This 358-nucleotide unclassified non-coding RNA is filed under the name Hevea brasiliensis (rubber tree). Lineage: Eukaryota; Viridiplantae; Streptophyta; Magnoliopsida; Malpighiales; Euphorbiaceae. The record is from RNAcentral.
UUCAUGGGGUCUUUAAUGGCUGGGUGGGGCUCUCCCGUCCUGGAUCAUAAAUCAGUGAAAUACAAGAGAAAUUGGUCAUUUACCAAAGAAGAGAUUGACGCUUACUGGAAAUUAAAGAAGAAAACAGAGGAGGAACAUCUCAAAGCAAUUUCUACUCCUUCAGAAAGCAUUAAUCAGGAUGGUACAUAUGAUGACUAUGGAGUAAAGCUUCAGAGAUCAAGCUCCUUGCCUGAGGCCAAGAGAAAGGAGAGCCUCAUGGGCAUGGAAACUGAUAAAAGCUUGGAGGAAGUCAUAAAGAAAAAUGGCUGGUGGAAAAGGAGCAACUGGGCAUUUCUGAACGAACCUCCUGUGCUGGAAC